CUACAGAAAAUGGCUGAGCGGCGAACGGGUGAGUAACGCGUGAGCAAUCUACCUUAGUUACUGGGAUAGCCCGAGGAAACUCGGAUUAAUACCGGAUAUUCUUAUUUUUUCACAUGAAGUUUUAAGGAAAGGUCAGCCGAACUAAGAUGAGCUCGCGUUCUAUCAGCUAGUUGGUGGGGUAAAAGCCUACCAAGGCUACGACGGAUAGCUGGUCUGAGAGGACGAUCAGCCACACUGGGACUGAGACACGGCCCAGACUCCUACGGGAGGCCGCAGCAGGGAAUAUUGCGCAAUGAGCGAAAGCUUGACGCAGCGACACCGCGUGUGGGAUGACGGUUCUAGGAUUGUAAACCACUUUCAGGAGGGAAGAAAGUGACGGUACCUCCACAAGAAGACCCGGCCAACUACGUGCUAGCAGCCGCGGUAAUACGUAGGGGUCAAGCGUUGUCCGGAUUCAUUGGGCGUAAAGAGCUCGUAGGCGGUCCAACAAGUCGGUCGUAAAAGUUUAGGGCUCAACCCUAAAAUGUCGAUCGAUACUGUUGUGACUAGGAUACGGUAGAGGUGAAUGGAAUUCCGAGUGUAGCGGUGAAAUGCGUAGAUAUUCGGAGAAACACCAAUUGCGAAGGCAGUUCACUGGACCGUGAUCGACGCUGAGGAGCGAAAGCUAGGGGAGCAAACAGGAUUAGAUACCCUGGUAGUCCUAGCUGUAAACGAUGGAUACUAGAUGUAGGAACUGGAUUGACGGUUUCUGUAUCGUAGCUAACGCGUUAAGUAUCCCGCCUGGGGAGUACGGUCGCAAGACUAAAACUCAAAGGAAUUGACGGGACCCCGCACAAGCGGCGGAGCAUGCGGCUUAAUUCGAUGAUACCCGUAGAACCUUACCUGGACUUGACAUAUAGGGAAAAGCUAAAGAAAUUUAGUGUGCGUAAGCGCCCUAUACAGGUGGUGCAUGGCUGUCGUCAGCUCGUGUCGUGAG
Molecule: ribosomal RNA, 976 nt
Filed under: uncultured marine bacterium
Lineage: Bacteria
Description: bacterial SSU rRNA
Rfam family: Bacterial small subunit ribosomal RNA
Source: RNAcentral